Danio aesculapii is the source of this 407-nucleotide long non-coding RNA. RefSeq lists it as uncharacterized. The transcript has 3 exons. The record is from RefSeq and is a predicted model, not a curated record. NCBI's taxonomy places the organism in Eukaryota, Metazoa, Chordata, Actinopteri, Cypriniformes, Danionidae.
AUUCACAGGACGAACCGAGCAUUGUGAAAUGAGGCGGUCCAGCGUACAGAGGACUGAACUUGUCACCUAGCAACAGUGACAGCUGUCGUCAAUAAGCAGCAGUAAAAACCGUUCUUCAUUGGACUCGAACCCUAUCUUUGUGGUCAUCUCCUCUCUGCGUCUCAAGUCCACAGACGUACAUGACGAGCUAACAGGACAAACUGGUCACAGCCAGAAAGCCGUCCAUACGGAGAGAAAUGAGCAGCUGAAUCUGUGAUGUAAUCUCCUGAAGGUUCAGCAGGGGUGAAGAUGCUGGAUGUAAAUAUCUGAGCUGCCCUGUUCACUCCACAGAGAAGAGCAGGUUUACAGUACACACAAAACCAAUAACCCAUGCAAGUAAACUCUGUUUCUUUGACUUUAUCUGUGAA